Long non-coding RNA from Chelonia mydas (Green sea turtle), 6464 nucleotides. RefSeq lists it as uncharacterized. Lineage: Eukaryota; Metazoa; Chordata; Testudines; Cheloniidae. The record is from RefSeq and is a predicted model, not a curated record. The transcript has 12 exons.
CUGCGAGAGACAGAGAAGUAACUCGUUUCCCGAAGCAGAGGCUCUGUCCCAGCGACUGACCACCGCACGGACAAUGAACUCCAGAGGCCGCCACCGCGGACACCUGCCGCUGCCCCCGACAAAGGUUGGAAGGCACUUACCCAAGCACCCUGCAGUCAGCCACCUCUCCAUGAGUCCGGAAUGUCAAGAUAAUUCACUGCUAAAAAGGGAUGAACAAAACCAUGAACUUCAUACUCCUCCUCUGAAUAGUAACUUCUCUGGAUAUAACCAAAAGAAACUUCAGGAGGAAAAUACUAAAUUAAAGCAUGAACUAGAAGAUUUAAGAAGUCAGUAUGCCCAGCUUAUAGAAGAAGGGAAGAGUGAAUGUUUUGAUGAAAGACGUGUCCGUCUUUUGAAGGCACAAGUAAUGCAGCUGGAGAGGCAGGUGGUCCUACUUACAGAAGGAUUAAGUUCUCGAGCAGUCCUUAUGCUGGAAUUAAAGAAUUCCCUAGAGUCUCUUAGUGAGAAACUCGGGUCUUUACUUGACUUUGAAAACCAUUCCUCUGAAGUACCAGUUGCCCGAGCUGAACUUAUACAAAUGAUUGAAAUAUGUCAGGCCCUGAGAAACAGGCUGCAAAGAAACCAUCAAGCAACUGGUAUGGAUAAUCUUGCAUUAUCGUGGAUGAUAUCAGGAAGAAACCUAGAAAAACAACCUAUGACCCUCAUAGACCUUUGCUAUGGGAAGAUAGAAAACGUAAACCUACGAUAUCUGAGUGCUCUUGAAGAAAAACUCAGCAAGUUGUUCAAACACCUGCUUGCCAUGAGGCAAACACUGAGCUUCAUACUUGCCCCAGGACAGGAGUCCUGUGAGAAAGCUCAUCAGAUACUGCCAACUGCUUUUUAUGCUAGAUUGCUAAAUCAUGUGACUAGAUGUCAUCAAUCUCUGGAGGAAUGCUGCAGUGACUUACUUGUUUUGACACUUAUUGUACCAUCUGCACCUUGGGUAAAACUGGAGUACUCCUUGAGCCAAUAAUUCACGGUGGAGAAUGUGCUUGCAAUAUUGCCUGCAUUUCCCAAGGGGGCCCCUCAGCAACGGGCCAAAAGGGCUGCAGAAGCCCUGGUGAAAGCUUCUAAUUAUUCCAGACUAAUGGCAAUACAACAGAUACAUGCUCUGCAAGCUGAACUCAAUUUCCAUAAAAGCCUAUACAACCUCCAAGUUAAGUACACUGAAGCUGUUUUUGAGGGGAUAAAGCAAGCCUACCACACUUUUCAAGAGAACGUUGUGUCAGUUCUAUGUUCACCGCUACAAGAUGUUCUUUCUUCUUACAUAAACCUUAAAGCGGAAGCUUCAGAGGUUGCUUUAAGGGACUUUCUCACUGCUUUUAAAAACAAUGCCGAACAGAUCCAAGAUGCAGUUGACACUUUGACUCCAUCAAAGAAUCAGCAGCACGAAGGUGAUGAGGCCCUGUCAAGGUUUGGAAAAGAGUUCUUCUUCUCUUUGGAGAAUUCACUCAAAGACUGUGGGGAACAACGGGAUAAAGCAGCCAGUGAAAUGGAAACUUUACAAACUGAACUGGCUCUAGCCUUUGAAAACCUUCAGAGCUUAAGAAAGGAACGAAAAAAGAAGAAAACAGAAUCCAUUCCUCAUUUUACAAAGUCUGAAGUGAGGGAGAGUGCAGGAGGAGGAGCUGCAAGCAGCUUGGAUAAGAUUUCAAAAGAUAACCCAGUGCCAGAUUCAACACCCCUGCCUCCUCCACACAGUGAGAGACCUUUGCCCAAACAUGUGUCUGCGAUGGCAGAAGCAUCCAGCAACUCAUCAUCCAGACUGCAGCAGCAGAGUUCUAAGGGGUUUUUCAUUCACCAGAAGGGGAAGAGCUCCCACAGGAGUAAGAGCAUGAAGACCACUGCAAGGCCACCUUGGCAAGAUUAACCAUCACUUUAUCUUUAAUAUCUUUUUCUUCAAAAAUGGUUUGAACUACUUUGUAAUAUUCUGUGUUAUGAUGAACUCCAGGGGCACAACUCUGCUAGGUGUUGGGAAAAGAAUAAGUCAGGGGGGUUGAGGGAACUCAACACCUUGUAAAUGGUGUUGGGAACCUCAUAGGAGGCCUGAUCAAAGCUCAUUGAAGUCAAUAACAAAAUUCCCAUCCAGGGGCUUUGGAUCAGGUCCUUAGUUCAUGCUAGAAUGCAGCAAACCAGAAGGAUAGAAGUAGAUGGCUGGUGUUAAACUAGAAUGAAUAGCUUUUGAAGAGGUAAUAUACACACUCAGCACAUGGACUGUACUAAUGUUAUGCUGGAUGUAUGUGCUGUUUCAUCACAGAUGUGUUUUUACACUUUAUGAAGGUUAUAGAAUGACUAAAAAAAAAUCGCUGGCACCAGGCUUGGUUUUGUUUCAUUACCAAAAGCACAUAGGGGACUUAACAGACCACAGCCAUCUGACAAAUGUUUAUAAAUUUGUUCUUCUUUGACUUGGCAUCUGUGUUGAAAGGAAAUCUCUCUAGAUUCCCAAGCUCAUGUGAAUGAUAAAUCUCUUGAAUGCCCCAAAUUACUACAUAUGCAAGGAGAAGAGAAUUGUGUUCAUAAUGUUUACUGAUAACAAAUGGUUUUGGAGAGCCUUACUUUACUGAGAAUGACAAUGUAAAUAAGUCAGAAUUGAGUGUGUAAUGUUCCUGUUUUUAAAAUUUGAUAUUAUAUUUUUAUUCUAAAUCACUUUUUUGUUAAUUCUAAAGAUUAUAAAGUUUUAUUUUCUGGUGAGUGAAAGAUUGAAGUUGCAGACAUAGUAUUUUUGUUGUAUUUCUGUUACUGUUCUUCCUUCCUUUCUCAUAGUACUAGUAAGAUAGGAAGGUCCAUUGGAGCAUUUAACUUUCCAAAGAGCCUGGAUGUUGGGAUGGGUGCAGACAGAAAUGCAAUAACUGAAAUAUAUUUGCUUGUGUCAUUUUUCUCUGUUCUACCAAAAGCAAGUGUUUUGCAAUGGUUACACCAACCACUUCAAGAGAACAGCUGUGAAUUCACAAGUGGGAUUAAUUUGGUGGCUGUAAUAGCGGUAACAGAGUAAACUUAGUCAAAAGACCAGCGUUUUGGGUUUGCUUUUUUUAUGUCUUGGUGCCAGUCAUAUGUCAGAAAGACAGGAAGCGAGAGCUUAUUAACUUGGACUGAUAUUUGCCUGUGGGGCCGACUGGUCAGCAGCCCUGGACCCCACCAUGUGGGGCUGGCCAGAGUGGCAGCCCAAGACCCCGCCAUGCAGGCAGCCCCAGACCCCACUGGACUCUGCCACAUGGGGCUGGCAGGGUGGCAGCCCGGAACCUGCCACUCUGGACCCCGACCCCGCUGUGCUGCACCAUGCCCUGCCUGGCCAGGCAGCCUGGACCUCAAGGCGCUGGGUGGCCAAGCAGCUGCUAACCCAGCCCCACAGCCUUUAGCACACAGCCUGCAUGUGACCCGUGGGCUGUGGGUUAAGAACUGCUGAUCUAGAGCCUCAGAGCCUACUGAGGAAAUCUCUGAACAGCAGGAGAUUGAGCCAAAAGAGGAGACCACAACACCAACUCAUUUUUCUUCCUUCUCUUCAGAUGAGGCCGUAAUGCCCCCUCCUCCAUCCAUGGCAGCCAAUUUAAGGUCUUUCAGGACCUUACAAAGAAGAUGGCAGAUUUAUUACAAAUCCCUCUUGAGUUGAGGGACACCCACCAUAAACUGCUGGACAUUCUACAUACUUCCUCCUCAAGGAUCGCCCACCCAAUUAAUGAGGUGCUUUUGGACCCAGUAAGAUUCAUAUGGCAAACAACAGCAUCGGCCGCACAGACGUGCAAAGAGGCCAACAAAAUGCAUUAUGCCCCCACCAAAGACUCAGGGAUCUUCUUCUCCCACUCUCCAUCUAAUUCCAUUGUGGUGGAUAAAAUGAACUCCUGUGGCCACCAGCACUGUUCAAAAUCCACCCCUUACUAUAGGGAUUGGGAGAGACUGGACUUGUUUGGGAGAAAGGUCUACUCUUCCCCGACUUUGCAAUUUCUUAUUGCAAACGACCAAGCACUAACGGCCAAAUACGAUUGCACAAAUUAUGCCAAGCUUAACAACUUUAUUGAUGAUACAGAGACCAACUUCAGGCCAUCAUACAGGAGGGGCAGUUGUGGCAAAAACAGAACGCCAAACUGCACUAGCUGCCACGGAUACUGCAGCCUGUUCAAUAUCCACAGUAGUCGUGAUGUGGUGAGUGACAUGGCUGUAUCUUUCGCGACUGCCAAAGGAGGUUCAGACGACUGUCAAGGAUCUCCCCUUCAAACUCUUUGCAGAUAAGACCAAUGCCAUGCUCCAUAAGACUUCAGAGCCACACUUCGGUCACCAGGGCUAGGCAAAAAAGGAAAUUUACUCCUCAGUCUUCCCAAAAGUCAUGUCCAACCCAGUACCCAUUACAGUGCUAUUAUGAGCCACAAUGGAAAAAAUCUAAAAUUCAAAGGUGUAAAUCAUCACGCCCUCAGUCUUCCACAUCACAACCUUCCACCUCAAAACUCCAAUUUUGACUCCUUGGUUGAGGCCUCAAGAAACUACUCCCCAUGACACCAGAUGCAACUUUCCAACCUCUCACAUCCCUUUGGAUAUUGUCUGGCUCUGUUUCAUCAGAAUUGGGAACACAUAACAUCUGACAGAUAGGUUUCGGAAAUUAUCUCUCAUGGGUAUUCUAUCCACUUCCCCACCCUCCCUCCCCAUCCCUCUUCAGGGACCCCUCUCAUGAGAUACUGUUACGACAGGAAAUAGAUCAUCUCCUAUCUCUAGGAGCCAUAGACACAUCUAUGCCUGCAUAUCUCUGAGGCAAAGGGGUUUUAUUCCUGAUAUUUCCUGAUCCCCAAGAAAAAGGGAGGUUGGAGACCCAUACUGGACCUCAGAGCACUGAACAAAUAUGAGAAGCCUCAAAAAUUCAAGAUGGUCACAUUAGCAGUGAUUAUUCCAUCCAUGGAACAGGGAGAUUGGUUCUCAGCCCUUGACUUUCAGGAUGCCUAUUUUCCACAUAUUGAUUGUACCAGCCCACAGACAAUUCCUCCUGUUUACCCUAGGUCAGGACUACUACCGGUACAGAGUACUCCCUUUUUGCCUCUCGUUAGCCCACACAGUAUUCUCCAAGGUCCUCUCCUUAGUAGCGGCACACUUAUGCACCCUGGAGAUCAUGAUCUACCCAUACUUGGACGACUAUCUCCUUAGGGCCCACUCUGAAGACACCCACAGGACAAUAAACUUGUUCACGAAGGUAGGACUGCAGGACUGCACCCAAGGGUGCCUGCUUGGGACAGGGAGCUAAAAUUCUACCUGCUAUAAGUCUUCAAACCCUCCCCCUUGACACCUAUACUCACAGGUGUCAGAUACAAAGUAAUGGCUGACACCAGACAAGUCUGUAGGGGGAAUUGGGGAUACAGGUCACUGCCUCACCACCCAGAAAACAUCAACAGGGAAAGGGUGUGUGCCAGGAGCUGCUUGUGGGUAGGGUGGGGAAAGUGAAACUUGCCAGUCACCUUACAAAACCACCCAGUUUUGUUACGGUUCACUUGAUGUUAUGUUCAAUCAAACCUGGAAUUCCCAAAGAACCUCAUGUGAUAAAGUGAUCUAUUUAUGCCAUGUGCACACAUUGAGGGAUUCAAGCUACUGGCAUCUGUAAGGUGCAUCAAAUAGAGGGACAUGACUGCAUGAAGGCCCAAUAUACCAGGCUGCAUCUUUGCCAGGGUAACCCAUCCCAGGGUAGGACUUCACCAGUGAAUGCUGGUCCCAGUGGAGUGGUGCCUUUGGUUUCUGCUGUGGUGUAGAUUACCUAGCACACAAUGGUCUAAGUCAUUUUUAGCAAGGACAUCCUACCUUGCUUAGUUUUGGCUGAUUUGGCUCACUUUAUUAUUUAACAAAAACAGUGGCUAAUCUGACCCCUCACUUUGUAUCUUCCUUUAUUUGUGACCUGCUCCUAGAUAAUUAUUUCAGACUCUGCAGAAACAAAAUGACAGCUUGUACUGAUUUACUUUAUGAAGUCAUAUUCAUUAUCAGAAGAGCUAGGAGAUAACUUAAAAUGAAGACAUACUUCAGAUGCUGAGCCAUAUUAAAAAACCUUCUGAAAUUAGGGUGAGGAGGGAACAUGGUCACAAAGAGCUGAUUUUUAAAACUGCACACAGAAUUCCAUGCCAUAUUUAUAUGCAUAAUUAUUGUAAUUUUUCACUCAGGUAGAUGUAAAUAACCAACUGAAUUCAUCAUAACACAUGUAUGCAUACAAAUACCUGAUUUGUGUGUGCAGUUGCCAGAAUUGUGCAUGCAAAUAAAAUCAGGCCUUAAAUCCUCAAGCUUUAUGGAUUUCUUUUACAGCUGUAAAUUUGUUGCCCAAGGUGAUGGGUGCAGAAUGAAAAAAUCCUGGUAUGAAAAUGCUGGAGAAUCAGAAACUCCUUUCCUCUGCCCACUCUCCGUUCAUAAAGAAGAAGUAAGAAACAGGGUCUGGGGCAGGAAUGAAUGGAAGACAUGGCUAUGAUGGU